GACGAACGCUGGCGGCGUGCUUAACACAUGCAAGUCGAACGGAAAGGCCCUGCUUUUGUGGGGUGCUCGAGUGGCGAACGGGUGAGUAACACGUGAGUAACCUGCCCUUGACUUUGGGAUAACUUCAGGAAACUGGGGCUAAUACCGGAUAGGAGCUCCUGCUGCAUGGUGGGGGUUGGAAAGUUUCGGCGGUUGGGGAUGGACUCGCGGCUUAUCAGCUUGUUGGUGGGGUAGUGGCUUACCAAGGCUUUGACGGGUAGCCGGCCUGAGAGGGUGACCGGCCACAUUGGGACUGAGAGACGGACCAGACUCCUACGGGAGGCAGCAGUGGGGAAUAUUGCACAAUGGGCGGACGCCUGAUGCAGCAACGCCGCGUGCGGGAUGACGGCCUUCGGGUUGUAAACCGCUUUCGCCUGUGACGAAGCGUGAGUGACGGUAAUGGGUAAAGAAGCACCGGCUAACUACGUG
This 468-nucleotide ribosomal RNA is filed under the name uncultured bacterium. Its description in RNAcentral is "partial 16S ribosomal RNA". It matches the Rfam family "Bacterial small subunit ribosomal RNA", at positions 28 to 507 of the family's 1533-position model. The record is from RNAcentral.